CAAGUAGCGGAGCAUGUGGUUUAAUUCGAAGCAACGCGAAGAACCUUACCUAAGCUUGACAUCCCAAUGACAUCUCCUUAAUCGGAGAGUUCCCUUCGGGGACCUUGGUGACAGGUGGUGCAUGGUUGUCGUCAGCUCGUGUCGUGAGAUGUUGGGUUAAGUCCCGCAACGAGCGCAACCCUUGUCUUUAGUUGCCAUCAUUAAGUUGGGCACUCUAGAGAGACUGCCAGGGAUAACCUGGAGGAAGGUGGGGAUGACGUCAAAUCAUCAUGCC
This 274-nucleotide ribosomal RNA is filed under the name Clostridioides difficile. Its description in RNAcentral is "partial 16S ribosomal RNA". It matches the Rfam family "Bacterial small subunit ribosomal RNA", at positions 926 to 1199 of the family's 1533-position model. The record is from RNAcentral. Lineage: Bacteria; Bacillati; Bacillota; Clostridia; Peptostreptococcales; Peptostreptococcaceae.